AUGAACGCUGGCGGCGUGCCUAAUACAUGCAAGUCGAGCGAACGGACGAGAAGCUUGCUUCUCUGAUGUUAGCGGCGGACGGGUGAGUAACACGUGGAUAACCUACCUAUAAGACUGGGAUAACUUCGGGAAACCGGAGCUAAUACCAGAUAAUAUUUUGAACCGCAUGGUUCAAAAGUGAAAGACGGUCUUGCUGUCACUUAUAGAUGGAUCCGCGCUGCAUUAGCUAGUUGGUAAGGUAACGGCUUACCAAGGCAACGAUGCAUAGCCGACCUGAGAGGGUGAUCGGCCACACUGGAACUGAGACACGGUCCAGGCUCCUACGGGAGGCAGCAGUAGGGAAUCUUCCGCAAUGGGCGAAAGCCUGACGGAGCAACGCCGCGUGAGUGAUGAAGGUCUUCGGAUCGUAAAACUCUGUUAUUAGGGAAGAACAUAUGUGUAAGUAACUGUGCACAUCUUGACGGUACCUAAUCAGAAAGCCACGGCUAACUACGUG
RNAcentral lists this ribosomal RNA (496 nucleotides) under uncultured bacterium. RNAcentral's name for it is "partial 16S ribosomal RNA". It matches the Rfam family "Bacterial small subunit ribosomal RNA", at positions 29 to 507 of the family's 1533-position model. The record is from RNAcentral.